UAACGCGAAGAACCUUACCAGGUCUUGACAUCCUUUGAAGCUUUUAGAGAUAGAAGUGUUCUCUUCGGAGACAAAGUGACAGGUGGUGCAUGGUCGUCGUCAGCUCGUGUCGUGAGAUGUUGGGUUAAGUCCCGCAACGAGCGCAACCCUUAUUGUUAGUUGCCAGCAUUCAGAUGGGCACUCUAGCGAGACUGCCGGUGACAAACCGGAGGAAGGCGGGGACGACGUCAGAUCAUCAUGCCCCUUAUGACCUGGGCUACACACGUGCUACAAUGGCGUAUACAACGAGUUGCCAACCCGCGAGGGUGAGCUAAUCUCUUAAAGUACGCCUCAGUUCGGAUUGUAGUCUGCAACUCGACUACAUGAAGUCGGAAUCGCUAGUAAUCGCGGAUCAG
Molecule: ribosomal RNA, 395 nt
Filed under: uncultured bacterium
Lineage: Bacteria
Description: bacterial SSU rRNA
Rfam family: Bacterial small subunit ribosomal RNA
Source: RNAcentral